AUGGACAGAAAGACAAAGAUGUUAAUUUAUGCGGCUGAGGCACAAUGGUUUAUCAACAUGAUAACAUUGGUUGUUCAAUCCAGAAAAAGAAAAAGGAGAGAAGCAAUUACGUAUGCCCCAAUUGAUGAGAGAGAUAGGAUGAGAAGAGAGUAUUUUGAUAACAAAAUAUGGAAGAAUGACACAACCAUUGUGAACAUGCUUAGGCUUCAGAGAGAACCUUUCUUUACGUUUUCUCAACUCUUUAGGGAUCGCAACUUGCUAAAGGACACAAUACAUUUGACUAUUGAGCAACAAGUAGCAAUGUUCUUGCACACCGUCGGGCACAACAUUAGAAAUAGGGUAAUUGGUGUCAAUUUUGGUGAUCCGGUGAAGUUGUGA
This 378-nucleotide ribosomal RNA is filed under the name Triticum aestivum (bread wheat). RNAcentral describes it as "partial small subunit ribosomal RNA". Lineage: Eukaryota; Viridiplantae; Streptophyta; Magnoliopsida; Poales; Poaceae. The record is from RNAcentral.